GAUGGUUACUUUCAUGUGUUGGACCCCUAAUCUUCAUCUUCGAUUUGUUCAUGAUGUUCAAAGACUUGGAUGACAAGAGAGUAAGUUACUUUAUUCCAUUAACAUAGAUCUAUUUUCUUUUCCAAUUUUAUUUAAUCUUGCUUGUGUAAUAAUUAAUUAACUCCAUAGUUUAGUUAAUUUGUAUGUUAUUAUUACAUAUAUUUGCUUCUUUUUUUUAAAUAAUAUUUGCUUAUUUAGGAUGUGUAUAUAUAUAGGAGCAACACCAAAAUUGGUUCUUCAAUUGAAGAAUAUCAAAGGUUUAAGUAUUGCUCAUGUCGAGUCAUUUACAGGUAUAUAUAUGAAGUUACAUAAUUGUUAUCACAACCUGAAUUUGAAUCUUUUAAUUUGGUUAAUUUCUUUUAUUUUCAUCUAUCUAUUUCUUUUUUUUUUUUUUCAGAUGUACAAGAGCAAGAAGAUAGAGGACACAAAUCAUCAAGGUACAUAUAUAUAAAAUAUUUAGUUUAAUUUUUUUAAUUACUCUUUGCAAGAUUAUCAAUGAGUAAUUAGGAUUACAUUUGUGCUUAAUUGCAAACCUAAUGAAUUUGAUUAUGUGUGUGUAUAUAUAUGACAGUAGUAAAGGCUGAUCAUCAUAGGCUUCUAAUAGAAAAUGGAGAGACAAAUAAUGUUUAUAAUCUCAGCCAGUUUCCCAUGCUUCAAAGUUAUAGGAAUGGGAAAGACAUCAGCUUCUAAUCAUAGCAGUAACAAAUUUAGGCUAAAAAUGAAAGUUAGGCUACUUUUAAAUUCUUAGAUCAAUUGCUAAAAACGAAAGUUAGGCUACUUUUCAAGGUGCAACUUUAGAUCAUUGCUAACACUUGUAUUUUUACAUUGAUGUAAUAUAGUUAUAGGCUUGUAGCAUUUUUUGUUGUUUA
Arachis ipaensis is the source of this 908-nucleotide non-coding RNA. NCBI's taxonomy places the organism in Eukaryota, Viridiplantae, Streptophyta, Magnoliopsida, Fabales, Fabaceae. The record is from RefSeq and is a predicted model, not a curated record.